UACGAAGGGGGCUAGCGUUGCUCGGAAUCACUGGGCGUAAAGGGUGCGUAGGCGGGUCUUUAAGUCAGGGGUGAAAUCCUGGAGCUCAACUCCAGAACUGCCUUCGAUACUGGCAAUCUUGAGUCCGGGAGAGGUGAGUGGAACUCCGAGUGUAGAGGUGAAAUUCGUAGAUAUUCGGAAGAACACCAGUGGCGAAGGCGGCUCACUGGCCCGGUACUGACGCUGAGGUGCGAAAGCGUGGGGAGCAAACAGG
Molecule: ribosomal RNA, 253 nt
Filed under: uncultured bacterium
Lineage: Bacteria
Description: partial 16S ribosomal RNA
Rfam family: Bacterial small subunit ribosomal RNA
Source: RNAcentral